This 680-nucleotide ribosomal RNA is filed under the name uncultured eukaryote. RNAcentral's name for it is "SSU rRNA". It matches the Rfam family "Eukaryotic small subunit ribosomal RNA", at positions 591 to 1291 of the family's 1831-position model. The record is from RNAcentral.
CUCAUAGCGUAUAUUUAAGUUGUUGCAGUUAAAAAGCUCGUAGUCGGAUUUUGGCGGAGAACGAACGGUCCGCCGUUAGGUGUGCACUGUUUGGUCUCAGCUUCCUGGUGAGGAGGUGUGCUUCACGGCCACUUAGUCACCGUGGUUACUUUGAAAAAAUUAGAGUGUUCAAAGCGGGCUUACGCUUGAAUAUAUUAGCAUGGAAUAACACCAUAGGACUCCUGUCCUAUUUCGUUGGUCUCGGGACGGGAGUAAUGAUUAAGAGGAACAGUUGGGGGCAUUCGUAUUUCAUUGUCAGAGGUGAAAUUCUUGGAUUUAUGAAAGACGAACUUCUGCGAAAGCAUUUGCCAAGGAUGUUUUCAUUGAUCAAGAACGAAAGUUGGGGGCUCGAAGAUGAUUAGAUACCAUCCUAGUCUCAACCAUAAACGAUGCCGACUAGGGAUUGGCGGAUGUUAAUUGAUGACUUCGCCAGCACCUUAUGAGAAAUCAAAGUUUUUGGGUUCCGGGGGGAGUAUGGUCGCAAGGCUGAAACUUAAAGGAAUUGACGGAAGGGCACCACCAGGCGUGGAGCCUGCGGCUUAAUUUGACUCAACACGGGGAAACUUACCAGGUCCAGACAUAGUAAGGAUUGACAGAUUGAGAGCUCUUUCUUGAUUCUAUGGGUGGUGGUGCAUGGCCGU